RNAcentral lists this transfer RNA (77 nucleotides) under Methanomassiliicoccales archaeon. RNAcentral's name for it is "tRNA-Lys". It matches the Rfam family "tRNA". From Rfam's summary of the family: Transfer RNA (tRNA) molecules are approximately 80 nucleotides in length. Their secondary structure includes four short double-helical elements and three loops (D, anti-codon, and T loops). Further hydrogen bonds mediate the characteristic L-shaped molecular structure. tRNAs have two regions of fundamental functional importance: the anti-codon, which is responsible for specific mRNA codon recognition, and the 3' end, to which the tRNAs corresponding amino acid is attached (by aminoacyl-tRNA synthetases). tRNAs cope with the degeneracy of the genetic code in two manners: having more than one tRNA (with a specific anti-codon) for a particular amino acid; and 'wobble' base-pairing, i.e. permitting non-standard base-pairing at the 3rd anti-codon position. Lineage: Archaea; Methanobacteriati; Thermoplasmatota; Thermoplasmata; Methanomassiliicoccales. The record is from RNAcentral.
GGGCCCGUAGCUCAGCUAGGUGGAGCAAUCGGCUCUUAACCGAUGGGUCGUGGGUUCGAAUCCCACCGGGCCCGCCA